This 733-nucleotide ribosomal RNA is filed under the name uncultured bacterium. RNAcentral describes it as "bacterial SSU rRNA". It matches the Rfam family "Bacterial small subunit ribosomal RNA", at positions 48 to 777 of the family's 1533-position model. The record is from RNAcentral.
CUUACACAUGCAGUCGAGCGGGGAAGGUAGCUUGCUACUUAACCUAGCGGCGGACGGGUGAGUAAUGCUUAGGAAUCUGCCUAUUAGUGGGGGACAACAUCUCGAAAGGGAUGCUAAUACCGCAUACGUCCUACGGGAGAAAGCAGGGGACCUUCGGGCCUUGCGCUAAUAGAUGAGCCUAAGUCGGAUUAGCUAGUUGGUGGGGUAAAGGCCUACCAAGGCGACGAUCUGUAGCGGGUCUGAGAGGAUGAUCCGCCACACUGGGACUGAGACACGGCCCAGACUCCUACGGGAGGCAGCAGUGGGGAAUAUUGGACAAUGGGGGGAACCCUGAUCCAGCCAUGCCGCGUGAGUGAAGAAGGCCUUUUGGUUGUAAAGCACUUUAAGCGAGGAGGAGGCUACCGAGAUUAAUACUCUUGGAUAGUGGACGUUACUCGCAGAAUAAGCACCGGCUAACUCUGUGCCAGCAGCCGCGGUAAUACAGAGGGUGCAAGCGUUAAUCGGAUUUACUGGGCGUAAAGCGCGCGUAGGUGGCCAAUUAAGUCAAAUGUGAAAUCCCCGAGCUUAACUUGGGAAUUGCAUUCGAUACUGGUUGGCUAGAGUAUGGGAGAGGAUGGUAGAAUUCCAGGUGUAGCGGUGAAAUGCGUAGAGAUCUGGAGGAAUACCGAUGGCGAACGCAGCCAUCUGGCCUAAUACUGACACUGAGGUGCGAAAGCAUGGGGAGCAAACAGGA